ACUGUGUGCAAUGAGGUACUCGCUUUGUCGGAUCUUCACCCCGGUAUGACCGAGUCAGAGUGUGUGAAUCUUUGCGACGCCCUCUUCAUCAUGGCCCUGGACACAGAGGAACAGAUAACAGACGACAUCUGUCAACAACAGUGCGCACGGGCGGUCAGCGGUGGGAUCAAGAACUGCCAUGAUUGAUGACGACAAAGUCUGUUCCCAACAACUCAAGUGAAGGGAAGAAAGGAAAAAUUCAGAAUGAACAUAACAUUAAAUUGUUUCAUAGGAA
Long non-coding RNA from Aplysia californica (California sea hare), 274 nucleotides. RefSeq lists it as uncharacterized. Lineage: Eukaryota; Metazoa; Mollusca; Gastropoda; Aplysiida; Aplysiidae. The record is from RefSeq and is a predicted model, not a curated record. The transcript has 2 exons.